GCAAGCACCACUAUUAAUUGAAAGAGGGAAAGGAAAACUAUCCCAGUGCCUACUACUCGCAGAGUGUAAGACACUCAGUAUUUUCAGUGAGUUUGCAUUUGAUCCUUACGAUACUGUAAGGCUUUACCCACUUUUUAAAAAAAGAAUUAUUUACUCAUGAGAGACAGAGAAAGAGGGAGAGAGUGAGGCAGAGGGAGAAGCAGGCUCCAUGCAGGGAGCCCGACGUGGGACUCGAUCCCGGGUCUCCAGGAUCACGCCCCAGGCCAAAGGCAGCACUAAACCAAUGAGCCACCUGGGCUGCCCAGACUUUAUCCAUUUUGUAGCUAAAAUCUUUGAGCGUAAAAAUUACAUGAGAUGACUAUCGGCCAGGUCAGCUGCAGAUUUAAUUAAGCCUGAGGAAGUAGCUGGAUGCUUGCCCUGAAGUCACCAGGCAGGGUUAAAAUUCAUGGACACUAUACAGACUUUUGAUUUCCACGACUCCGAUUACUGGUACUAUCGACAACGAUGACGAUGAUAAAAGCUGAUAUUCAUCAAGCUGUCAUCAUGUAACAGACCAAAUGGAUCAAUUGCAUUUUCACAAAUUUAAGAGGUUACUAUUACCGUUUUCUAACUAAAAAACAGGCUGGAGAGUUGAUGCAGUAUCUCCGCAUUCACAGGAUGAUUCAGUCGAAGAGCUGCAUGCUCUUGGAUUCCCCAGCAGCCUCUCCCUGUUGUGCCUACACAGUAUGCCGUGCUGCCUCCCUGGUGACUGAAAGAACUGGCACACUGCAUAGUCAUCCAUAAGAGGCCUGGACAAUUACGUGAUUCUUAAUACUUACAAAUGGAAGGAGAGUCAGAACUGGUUUUUGAAGAAAGAAGAUAGUUUUAAGAUCUAUAAGGAGCAAUUGAAGAGAGUGUAUAUGCUGAUGCAACAAGGUGUCAGUAUAGGGACGCCUGGGUGGCUCCGUUGGUUAAGUGUCUGACUUCAGCUCAGGUCAUGA
Molecule: long non-coding RNA, 980 nt
Organism: Canis lupus familiaris (dog)
Lineage: Eukaryota; Metazoa; Chordata; Mammalia; Carnivora; Canidae
Exons: 3
Source: RefSeq, a predicted model, not a curated record